RNAcentral lists this ribosomal RNA (254 nucleotides) under uncultured bacterium. RNAcentral describes it as "partial 16S ribosomal RNA". It matches the Rfam family "Bacterial small subunit ribosomal RNA", at positions 524 to 776 of the family's 1533-position model. The record is from RNAcentral.
UACGUAGGGACCAAGCGUUGUUCGGAUUUACUGGGCGUAAAGGGCGCGUAGGCGGCCAGCACAAGUCAGUUGUGAAAUCUCCGAGCUUAACUCGGAAAGGUCAACUGAUACUGUGCGGCUAGAGUGCAGAAGGGGCAACUGGAAUUCUUGGUGUAGCGGUGAAAUGCGUAGAUAUCAAGAGGAACACCUGCGGCGAAGGCGGGUUGCUGGGCUGACACUGACGCUGAGGCGCGAAAGCUAGGGGAGCGAACGGG